This 852-nucleotide ribosomal RNA is filed under the name Salinibacterium amurskyense. RNAcentral describes it as "bacterial SSU rRNA". It matches the Rfam family "Bacterial small subunit ribosomal RNA", at positions 79 to 942 of the family's 1533-position model. Lineage: Bacteria; Bacillati; Actinomycetota; Actinomycetes; Micrococcales; Microbacteriaceae. The record is from RNAcentral.
CUUGCUCUGGUGGAUUAGUGGCGAACGGGUGAGUAACACGUGAGUAACCUGCCCUUGACUCUGGAAUAAGCGUUGGAAACGACGUCUAAUACCGGAUACGAGCUUCCGCCGCAUGGUGAGGAGCUGGAAAGAAUUUCGGUCAAGGAUGGACUCGCGGCCUAUCAGGUAGUUGGUGAGGUAAUGGCUCACCAAGCCUACGACGGGUAGCCGGCCUGAGAGGGUGACCGGCCACACUGGAACUGAGACACGGUCCAGACUCCUACGGGAGGCAGCAGUGGGGAAUAUUGCACAAUGGGCGCAAGCCUGAUGCAGCAACGCCGCGUGAGGGACGACGGCCUUCGGGUUGUAAACCUCUUUUAGUAGGGAAGAAGCGAAAGUGACGGUACCUGCAGAAAAAGCACCGGCUAACUACGUGCCAGCAGCCGCGGUAAUACGUAGGGUGCAAGCGUUAUCCGGAAUUAUUGGGCGUAAAGAGCUCGUAGGCGGUUUGUCGCGUCUGCUGUGAAAACUGGGGGCUCAACCCCCAGCCUGCAGUGGGUACGGGCAGACUAGAGUGCGGUAGGGGAGAUUGGAAUUCCUGGUGUAGCGGUGGAAUGCGCAGAUAUCAGGAGGAACACCGAUGGCGAAGGCAGAUCUCUGGGCCGUAACUGACGCUGAGGAGCGAAAGCAUGGGGAGCGAACAGGAUUAGAUACCCUGGUAGUCCAUGCCGUAAACGUUGGGAACUAGAUGUAGGGGCCAUUCCACGGUUUCUGUGUCGCAGCUAACGCAUUAAGUUCCCCGCCUGGGGAGUACGGCCGCAAGGCUAAAACUCAAAGGAAUUGACGGGGGCCCGCACAAGCGGCGGAGCAUGC